RNAcentral lists this long non-coding RNA (401 nucleotides) under Malus domestica (apple). RNAcentral's name for it is "long non-coding RNA (MDOM_LNC017790)". Lineage: Eukaryota; Viridiplantae; Streptophyta; Magnoliopsida; Rosales; Rosaceae. The record is from RNAcentral.
GACUUGUGGCCAUCCAAGGGGGAGUGUUGUGAAUAAUAUGUGGAUGGCCCACAUGAAUAGUUUGUUACUAUUUAUGCACAGUAUUUUCACUAUUCAUUUGUGGAAAAGUUGUAAAGUGAAUAGUGCUUUCUUUUGUUUAUAUAUUUGAAGAAGAGAAGAAGAGGUGAGUAACUUACGGAAGAGGAAGAGAGAAGAGUGAGAGAGAGAGAGGAAAGAAGAGGAAGAAGAGGAAAAUAAGGGGGAGAUUAAAGAGAGUUAUCUUUGUACUCCUAUUAUUCCAAAUUAUAAUGAAAGCACCACUGCUGCCCCGAGGACGUACUCCAGUCACACUAACUGUAAAGGAACCUCAUAAAUUUUGUGUCUUGUUUCAUUUAUUCCACUGCACCCACAGUCGAUUUUAC